AUGAAGCUGCUCUGCAUCCUCACGGUGGUCCUCGCCCUCGCGUCCGUCGAGCCCGCCGUCUCGUCCCCCCGGCGCUACGAAUCCAUCAUCACCUUCGGCGACUCCUUCACCGACACCGGAAAUGCCAUCAUCGUCUUGGCGGAGAAAUCGCGCUUCGACCCUACGGUGCAGCCUCCCUACGGCAUGACGUUCUUCGGCCGCCCCACGGGCCGCUACUCCAACGGCCGCCUCAUCAUCGACUUCAUCGCUGAGAAGCUCGAUCUGCCGUUCGUCCCGCCGUACCUCUCGCACAACGGCAGCUUCAGCGAGGGCGUCAACUUCGCCGUGGCGGGCGCCACCGCUCUCAACGCCAGUUUCUUCAGAGACAUCCCGCUCGUAGGCUCGUUUGUUCUCAACACCAGCUCCAGCGUGCAGCUGGGGUGGUUCGACUCGCUCAAGCCGUCGCUGUGCAGCCCUGCCCAAAAUUGCCCGGGCUUAUUCCACAAGACGCUCUUCUUCAUGGGUGAAAUUGGCCUCAACGACUACAGCUUUGCGGUCUUCGGAAUGACCCUGCCCGAACUAAGAUCCAUGGUCCCAGACGUCGUCAAAACCAUCGCCGCGGCCACUGAGGUGCUACUCGGGCAGGGGGCGAAGACCGUGGUGGUGCCCGGGAUCCCGCCGCUGGGAUGCAUGCCGCCGAAUCUGGUGUUCUUCCCCAGCAACGAGUCGGCAGGCUACGAGCCUAGCACCGGAUGCCUGAAAGGCCUCAACGAGAUCGCCAGGCACCACAACUCGGAGCUGCAGAAGGCCCUCGACAAGGUCCGGGGGAACCACCCGAAUGCCCUGGUCAUCUACGCCGAUUUCUUCACCCCGGUCAUCGAGAUGGUGGAGUCUCCCCACAAAUUUGGGCUUACCACGGACGUUCUGAGCUGUUGCUGCGGUGGAGGUGGCAAGUACAACUUCAACAUCAGCGCUGGCUGUGGCAUGCCAGGCGCUACCGUGUGCGAGGACCCGUCUCAAUAUCUGUACUGGGACGGCCAUUUCACGGAGGCAGCCCACCGCUAUAUUGCCAAAGGCUGGCUAAACAGCAUAAACAGUUGCAAACCCUGGUAG
RNAcentral lists this ribosomal RNA (1092 nucleotides) under Triticum aestivum (bread wheat). RNAcentral describes it as "partial small subunit ribosomal RNA". Lineage: Eukaryota; Viridiplantae; Streptophyta; Magnoliopsida; Poales; Poaceae. The record is from RNAcentral.